Molecule: ribosomal RNA, 590 nt
Filed under: uncultured bacterium
Lineage: Bacteria
Description: partial 16S ribosomal RNA
Rfam family: Bacterial small subunit ribosomal RNA
Source: RNAcentral
UGGGGAAUUUUGGACAAUGGGCGAAAGCCUGAUCCAGCAAUGCCGCGUGUGUGAAGAAGGCCUUCGGGUUGUAAAGCACUUUUGUCCGGAAAGAAAUCCUUGGCUCUAAUACAGUCGGGGGAUGACGGUACCGGAAGAAUAAGCACCGGCUAACUACGUGCCAGCAGCCGCGGUAAUACGUAGGGUGCAAGCGUUAAUCGGAAUUACUGGGCGUAAAGCGUGCGCAGGCGGUUUGCUAAGACCGAUGUGAAAUCCCCGGGCUCAACCUGGGAACUGCAUUGGUGACUGGCAGGCUAGAGUAUGGCAGAGGGGGGUAGAAUUCCACGUGUAGCAGUGAAAUGCGUAGAGAUGUGGAGGAAUACCGAUGGCGAAGGCAGCCCCCUGGGCCAAAUACUGACGCUCAUGCACGAAAAGCGUGGGGGAGCAAAACAGGAUUAGAUACCCUGGUAGUCCACGCCCUAAAACGAUGUCAACUAGUUGUUGGGGAUUCAUUUCCUUAGUAACGUAGCUAACGCGUGAAGUUGACCGCCUGGGGAGUACGGUCGCAAGAUUAAAACUCAAAGGAAUUGACGGGGUCAUAGCUGUUUCCU